GCAGGAGCGCGGCUCUCGGGCAGCUGCAGCGCGCCCAGCCUGGCGGCCCCGGACGGUGGCAGCGCGACCCCCGGGUCCCGUGCCCCGGCCGCCAGCAUGAGCGCCACCAGGAAGAGCCGGGCCAGCGACGAGCCGUUGCCCAGGCCCCCGCGGGGCGCGCCGCACGCCAGCGACCAGGUGCUGGGGUCGGGAGUCACCUAUGUGGUCAAGGGAAGCCAUCAGCCGUGUCUGCGAAGCUGUGCCAGGCGCCAAAGGAGCCUUCAAGAAGAGAAAGCCUCCGAGUAAAAUGCUGUCCAGCAUCCUGGGGAAGAGCAACCUCCAGUUCGCAGGGAUGAGCAUCUCCCUGACCAUCUCCACCGCCAGCCUGAACCUGCGCACUCCUGACUCCAAACAG
RNAcentral lists this long non-coding RNA (394 nucleotides) under Rattus norvegicus (Norway rat). Its description in RNAcentral is "long non-coding RNA NONRATT012316". Lineage: Eukaryota; Metazoa; Chordata; Mammalia; Rodentia; Muridae. The record is from RNAcentral.